This 630-nucleotide long non-coding RNA is filed under the name Homo sapiens (human). RNAcentral's name for it is "HSALNT0398661". The record is from RNAcentral. Lineage: Eukaryota; Metazoa; Chordata; Mammalia; Primates; Hominidae.
CGGGCCUGUAGGAAACUGCGCAUGCGCGGAGAGAAGAGCCCGGGCAGCCUGAAGGAAUGGCUGGAGUGGGCGGGGUCUGCGCCGCUUUAAGGUUGGACCCGAUCCUGCUAGGGAGUCUCCUGCAGCUUAGCAGUCCGGGAACUGGGAUUUCGGUGGGGAAUCCAAAACUAGCAGUGAUUGGAUCCAUAAAAGUUACCAAAAAACAAAAAUGAAGUGUCUGGAAUCACUCCACUGGAUUUCAAGACUACCAAUAUAGGAAAGAUGCUGGUUAACCUCCACACGCUUGAUUUUCAAGCAUCUGAUCUUUGAUAACUUCCAUAUUAAGAGACUUCAUUUCACCAUCUAGUAUCCCUGUACUUUAAUUGAACUAAAGAUUUACAAGGACACUCCAUUUUCCUAUUUACAGAGAACCUAGUCUGUACCUGCCAUUGUUUUACAUACAUUUUCAUGUCACAAAAUUUUAUUUCUAAACAACACCCUCAUUUAUGUAUUUUCUAAGUGUUCACUGGAGUAACACAGAGAAGAAAUGCAGUAAACAUAUAAUUUGGAUUAAAAUGUAUGGAAGGAAAAAAUCCUUAAAGUAAAAAUCAUAUACAAAAACAAAAAGUCAUUUUACUACUAUUGGCUCAU